Molecule: ribosomal RNA, 250 nt
Filed under: uncultured bacterium
Lineage: Bacteria
Description: partial 16S ribosomal RNA
Rfam family: Bacterial small subunit ribosomal RNA
Source: RNAcentral
UACGAAGGGGGCUAGCGUUGCUCGGAAUGACUGGGCGUAAAGGGCGUGUAGGCGGUUUGUACAGUCAGAUGUGAAAUCCCCGGGCUUAACCUGGGAGCUGCAUUUGAUACGUGCAGACUAGAGUGUGAGAGAGGGUUGUGGAAUUCCCAGUGUAGAGGUGAAAUUCGUAGAUAUUGGGAAGAACACCGGUGGCGAAGGCGGCAACCUGGCUCAUUACUGACGCUGAGGCGCGAAAGCGUGGGGAGCAAAC